UAGGGAAUUUUCCACAAUGGACGAAAGUCUGAUGGAGCAACGCCGCGUGCAGGAUGAAGGCCUUCGGGUCGUAAACUGCUUUUAUGGGUGAAGAAUAAGACAGUAGCCCAAGAAUAAGGGACGGCUAACUACGUGCCAGCAGCCGCGGUCAUACGUAGGUCCCAAGCGUUAUCCGGAUUUAUUGGGUUUAAAGGGUGCGUAGGUGGCCCUGUAAGUCAGUGGUGAAAUAUCUCAGCUUAACUGAGAGGGUGCCAUUGAUACUGCAGGGCUUGAGUACAGAUGAGGUAGGCGGAAUUGACGGUGUAGCGGUGAAAUGCAUAGAUAUCGUCAAGAACACCGAUAGCGAAGGCAGCUUACCAAGCUGUAACUGACACUGAGGCACGAAAGUGUGGGGGAUCAAACAGGAUUAGAUACCCUAGUAGUCCCUGAGCGGGCUGGCAAGGCGCAU
This 448-nucleotide ribosomal RNA is filed under the name uncultured bacterium. Its description in RNAcentral is "bacterial SSU rRNA". It matches the Rfam family "Bacterial small subunit ribosomal RNA", at positions 355 to 825 of the family's 1533-position model. The record is from RNAcentral.